AUUGAACGCUGGCGGCAGGCCUAACACAUGCAAGUCGAGCGGAUGAAGGGAGCUUGCUCCUGGAUUCAGCGGCGGACGGGGGAGUAAUGCCUAGGAAUCUGCCUGGUAGUGGGGGAGAACGUCCGGAAACGGGCGCUAAUACCGCAUACGCCCUGAGGGAGAAAGUGGGGGAGCUUCGGACCUCACGCUAUCAGAUGAGCCUAGGUCGGAUUAGCUAGUUGGUGGGGUAAAGGCCUACCAAGGCGACGAUCCGUAACUGGUCUGAGAGGAUGAUCAGUCACACUGGAACUGAGACACGGUCCAGACUCCUACGGGAGGCAGCAGUGGGGAAUAUUGGACAAUGGGCGAAAGCCUGAUCCAGCCAUGCCGCGUGUGUGAAGAAGGUCUUCGGAUUGUAAAGCACUUUAAGUUGGGAGGAAGGGCAGUAAGUUAAUACCUUGCUGUUUUGACGUUACCAACAGAAUAAGCACCGGCUAACUUCGUG
RNAcentral lists this ribosomal RNA (484 nucleotides) under uncultured bacterium. Its description in RNAcentral is "partial 16S ribosomal RNA". It matches the Rfam family "Bacterial small subunit ribosomal RNA", at positions 30 to 507 of the family's 1533-position model. The record is from RNAcentral.